GGAACCUACCUUCUAGCGGGGGAUAACACAUACCCCUUUGUGCUAAUACCGCAUAAUAGUAUUUGAUGCAUAUCAGAUAUUUGAAAGGCGCAAUUGCGUCACUAGAAGAUGGCCCCGCGGUGCAUUAGCUAGUUGGUGAGGUAAUGGCUCACCAAGGCAAUGAUGCAUAGCCGACCUGAGAGGGUGAUCGGCCACACUGGGACUGAGACACGGCCCAGACUCCUACGGGAGGCAGCAGUAGGGAAUCUUCGGCAAUGGACGCAAGUCUGACCGAGCAACGCCGCGUGAGUGAAGAAGGUUUUCGGAUCGUAAAACUCUGUUGUAAGAGAAGGACGUUGAUGAGAGUGGAAAGUUCAUCAAGUGACGGUAUCUUACCAGAAAGCCACGGGUAACUACGUGCCAGCAGCCGCGGUAAUACGUAGGUGGCAAGCGUUGUCCGGAUUUAUUGGGCGUAAAGCGAGCGCAGGCGGUUGAUUAAGUCUGAUGUGAAAGCCCCCGGCUCAACCGGGGAGGGUCAUUGGAAACUGGUCAACUUGAGUGCAGAAGAGGAGAGUGGAAUUCCAUGUGUAGCGGUGAAAUGCGUAGAUAUAUGGAGGAACA
Molecule: ribosomal RNA, 600 nt
Filed under: uncultured bacterium
Lineage: Bacteria
Description: bacterial SSU rRNA
Rfam family: Bacterial small subunit ribosomal RNA
Source: RNAcentral